This is a long non-coding RNA of Humulus lupulus (European hop), 751 nucleotides long. RefSeq lists it as uncharacterized. NCBI's taxonomy places the organism in Eukaryota, Viridiplantae, Streptophyta, Magnoliopsida, Rosales, Cannabaceae. The transcript has 2 exons. The record is from RefSeq and is a predicted model, not a curated record.
CUCAGUAUGCUUGGGCUUUUGUUGGCUUAUCAGUCACAGAAGGGAUCACUGCAAGCAUAACAGUUGUUAUAGGUCCUUUCUUUCAUUCUCUCUCUCUCUCUGACCAUUUCUAAAUGUUGAUGUUUGUCUGUGUUGCUCUUAUAGAUACUGAAUUUUUUGCUUCUGUUGCGAUCUUUAAUGGUGACAGGAACAACCUUGAAUUACUUUUUAGACAAUAGAAUUAAUAAAGCCGAGAUCCUUUUCCCUGGUGUGGCUGCUUCUUGGUUGCAAUUUGUCUUGCUUCUACUGUCCACUCAUCUAAUGCAGCUGAUAAUAAAGAAAUGCUUGAAGGUUUUUAAUCUAAAGAGGGGUAUGUUUCAUUCAUUAAAUGUUAAGGUUAUCAAAGAAUUAUCUUGUUUCCAGGUGACAUUCUUUUUUCUUUUUAUUAGAAAGAGUUCUUUUUUCUAACUUUAUUUUUAGUUUUAUUGUAGAAAUUGGGCUAAACCUUAUAUUAAAGAUGCUAAAGAAGUUUCCAGGUAUAUUGAGAUGAUUUCUUUGGAGCAAUUCUUGACAACAUUUGUAGUUGAGGCCUUUAGAAUGGAAGAAUGUAUUUCACUAAUUUUUGUAUACAUUUCUUGUUUUGUAUUUAGUGAUUUAGGAAUCUGAAUUUGGCAUAAAUUAUGUUGUAAUAUAAUUUCUUAAGCCUAGACUAGUAGACUAAAUAUUGUAAUUACAUUUGAGUAAUUAAUAAAAAUCUAUUUAUGUUACCUUA